ACUGGGAGCGUGGCGCCUCCUGUAACGUGAGCUACACACGGGUCGGAUUACGGACUGACUUGAGGUUGGGAUCGACUGUGCGCCGUGUAAAGGUCCACGUUGACGGAACGUCCGCACUAAACUGACCGUCAAUAUGGGUGCAAUGGGGGAGCCCGAUGCAUUCAGGUUGGCUAAAGAGAGAUGAACCGAGCGAGGGGUGAAAACCAGCAGCUAAAAGUCUCCGCGGUAAGCAGUAGUGGGAUCGCGUCCCGGAGUGGACCUUCGGUGCCAGCCUGACCGACAUGGUCAAACCGUAAUCUUU
This 301-nucleotide signal recognition particle RNA is filed under the name Culex quinquefasciatus (southern house mosquito). RNAcentral describes it as "Metazoan signal recognition particle RNA". It matches the Rfam family "Metazoan signal recognition particle RNA". From Rfam's summary of the family: The signal recognition particle (SRP) is a universally conserved ribonucleoprotein. Lineage: Eukaryota; Metazoa; Arthropoda; Insecta; Diptera; Culicidae. The record is from Rfam by way of RNAcentral.